AUGCACGCUGGCGGCGUGCCUAAUCCAUGCAAGUCGCGCGAACGGACGAGAAGCUUGCUUCUCUGAUGUUAGCGGCGGACGGGUGAGUAACACGUGGAUAGCCUACCUAUAAGACUGGGAUAACUUCGGGAAACCGGAGCUAAUACCGGAUGAUAUUUUGAACCGCAUGGUUCAAAAGUGAAAGACGGUCUUGCUGUCACUUAUAGAUGGAUCCGCGCUGCAUUAGCUAGUUGGUAAGGGAACGGCUUACCAAGGCAACGAUGCAUAGCCGACCUGAGAGGGUGAUCGGCCACACUGGAACUGAGACACGGUCCAGACUCCUACGGGAGGCAGCAGUAGGGAAUCUUCCGCAAUGGGCGAAAGCCUGACGGAGCAACGCCGCGUGAGUGAUGAAGGUCUUCGGAUCGUAAAACUCUGUUAUUAGGGAAGAACAUAUGUGUAAGUAACUGUGCACAUCUUGACGGUACCUAAUCAGAAAGCCCCGGCUAACUACGUG
This 496-nucleotide ribosomal RNA is filed under the name uncultured bacterium. RNAcentral describes it as "partial 16S ribosomal RNA". It matches the Rfam family "Bacterial small subunit ribosomal RNA", at positions 29 to 507 of the family's 1533-position model. The record is from RNAcentral.